AACUUGCCAGAUUGUUUAGCUCGUGUUGCGUGUUAUCACCACUUUCAGCGUUCGUUGAUCUAGACCCGUCGUGCACCAUGUAUCUUGUUUUUGACCUGUGAUCCUGAGCCUGCCUAGUCCCUGCCUGCCUUGUCUGCCCUGGUCUUCUGCUCUGGCCUGUUACCGACCUUGUCUGCCUGCCUGACCACGAUUCUACGCCUGACGAUCUGCCUGUCCGUGCCGUGCAUGUGGGUCCGCCGCCUUGACGUUCUGACAGAAACAAGCAGUGCAAGAGGAAACGGAGCAUCCAGCUGAUGAUUUGAGUAUUUGAAAGGUCAUUGGUAUUUCUACCAUUUCUGAUGAGCAGCAAAGUUAUUGGUAAGUCAAUGAAAUAUAUUUUUUAUUUGCCAAUGACAUAAUACAAUACAGGUUUACAAGUAAAAAC
This 424-nucleotide long non-coding RNA is filed under the name Betta splendens (Siamese fighting fish). RNAcentral describes it as "lncRNA (ENSBSLG00000017889.1)". The record is from RNAcentral. Lineage: Eukaryota; Metazoa; Chordata; Actinopteri; Anabantiformes; Osphronemidae.